Molecule: unclassified non-coding RNA, 203 nt
Filed under: Hevea brasiliensis (rubber tree)
Lineage: Eukaryota; Viridiplantae; Streptophyta; Magnoliopsida; Malpighiales; Euphorbiaceae
Source: RNAcentral
AAAAUACAAUGAUUGAAGCUGCAUUAAUAUUGUCAGAUGUAGGACUAGUUGCAAAUCCUCCAGGUGAUGGAGCAGGGCUUUCCUCACUUGGUAAUGGAGCUCCGACUGGGAUGCCAAGAUCUGAGCAAGUGGUAGAUGGUGGAAACUCCAAACUACAAGCAGAAGGAAGUUUAAGUGCCUUAUCGACAUCAAUAUUGAACCCA